RNAcentral lists this transfer RNA (81 nucleotides) under Canis lupus familiaris (dog). RNAcentral's name for it is "tRNA-Ser (CGA) (tRNA-Ser-CGA-4-1)". It matches the Rfam family "tRNA". Rfam says of the family: Transfer RNA (tRNA) molecules are approximately 80 nucleotides in length. Their secondary structure includes four short double-helical elements and three loops (D, anti-codon, and T loops). The record is from Rfam by way of RNAcentral. Lineage: Eukaryota; Metazoa; Chordata; Mammalia; Carnivora; Canidae. RNAcentral also lists the same sequence under 2 other names.
GCUGUGAUGGCCGAGUGGUUAAGGCGUUGGACUCGAAAUCCAAUGGGAUCUCCCACGCAGGUUCAAGUCCUGCUCACAGCG